CUCGCUGUAGCUCAGUGGUAGAGCAUCCGGCUCUGCUAACCGGAUGGACGCUGGUUCGAGCCCAGUCAGCGAGG
Molecule: transfer RNA, 74 nt
Filed under: Nonomuraea wenchangensis
Lineage: Bacteria; Bacillati; Actinomycetota; Actinomycetes; Streptosporangiales; Streptosporangiaceae
Description: Nonomuraea sp. 210417 tRNA
Rfam family: tRNA
About the family: Transfer RNA (tRNA) molecules are approximately 80 nucleotides in length.
Source: Rfam by way of RNAcentral